This 490-nucleotide ribosomal RNA is filed under the name uncultured bacterium. RNAcentral's name for it is "partial 16S ribosomal RNA". It matches the Rfam family "Bacterial small subunit ribosomal RNA", at positions 30 to 507 of the family's 1533-position model. The record is from RNAcentral.
AUUGAACGCUGGCGGCAGGCCUAACACAUGCAAGUCGAACGGUAACAGGAAACAGCUUGCUGUUUCGCUGACGAGUGGCGGACGGGUGAGUAAUGUCUGGGAAACUGCCUGAUGGAGGGGGAUAACUACUGGAAACGGUAGCUAAUACCGCAUAACGUCGCAAGACCAAAGAGGGGGACCUUCGGGCCUCUUGCCAUCGGAUGUGCCCAGAUGGGAUUAGCUUGUUGGUGGGGUAACGGCUCACCAAGGCGACGAUCCCUAGCUGGUCUGAGAGGAUGACCAGCCACACUGGAACUGAGACACGGUCCAGACUCCUACGGGAGGCAGCAGUGGGGAAUAUUGCACAAUGGGCGCAAGCCUGAUGCAGCCAUGCCGCGUGUAUGAAGAAGGCCUUCGGGUUGUAAAGUACUUUCGGCGGGGAGGAAGGGAGUAAAGUUAAUACCUUUGCUCAUUGACGUUACCCGCAGAAGAAGCACCGGCUAACUCCGUG